RNAcentral lists this ribosomal RNA (431 nucleotides) under uncultured bacterium. RNAcentral's name for it is "bacterial SSU rRNA". It matches the Rfam family "Bacterial small subunit ribosomal RNA", at positions 29 to 457 of the family's 1533-position model. The record is from RNAcentral.
AUUGAACGCUGGCGGCAUGCCUAACACAUGCAAGUCGAACGGCAGCACAGCAGUAGCAAUACUGUGGGUGGCGAGUGGCGGACGGGUGAGGAAUACGUCGGAAUCUGCCCAGUCGUGGGGGAUAACUAGCCGAAAGGUUAGCUAAUACCGCAUACGACCGAGAGGUGAAAGCGGGGACCGCAAGGCCUCGCGCGAUUGGAUGAGCCGACGUCGGAUUAGCUAGUUGGCGGGGUAAAGGCCCACCAAGGCGACGAUCCGUAGCUGGUCUGAGAGGAUGAUCAGCCACACUGGAACUGAGACACGGUCCAGACUCCUACGGGAGGCAGCAGUGGGGAAUAUUGGACAAUGGGCGCAAGCCUGAUCCAGCAAUGCCGCGUGUGUGAAGAAGGCCUUCGGUUGUAAGACGACUUUAUUCAGGACGAAAAGACGUU